Molecule: long non-coding RNA, 365 nt
Organism: Oncorhynchus tshawytscha (Chinook salmon)
Lineage: Eukaryota; Metazoa; Chordata; Actinopteri; Salmoniformes; Salmonidae
Source: Ensembl
CUGCUACAUCAUCCUCAAGUUAACACACACACACACUGCUACAUCAUCCUCAAGUUAACACACACACACACUGCUACAUCAUCCUCAAGGUAGCACACACACACACACUGCUACAUCAUCCUCAAGUUAACACACACACACACACACUGCUACAUCAUCCUCAAGGUAACAAACACACACACACACACUGCUACAUCAUCCUCAAGGUAACACACACACACACACACACACACUGCUACAUCAUCCUCAAGGUAGCACACACACACUGCUACAUCAUCCUCAAGGUAGCACACACACACACUGCUACAUCAUCCUCAAGGUAGCACACACACACACUGCUACAUCAUCCUCAAGGUAGCACACAC